Molecule: ribosomal RNA, 449 nt
Filed under: uncultured bacterium
Lineage: Bacteria
Description: bacterial SSU rRNA
Rfam family: Bacterial small subunit ribosomal RNA
Source: RNAcentral
GUGGGGAAUAUUGCGCAAUGGGGGAAACCCUGACGCAGCAACGCCGCGUGAGUGAAGAAGGCCUUCGGGUUGUAAAGCUCUGUCAAGAGGGACGAAAAACAUAAGGUAAAUAAUCUUAUGCAUGACGGUACCUUUGAAGGAAGCCCCGGCUAACUACGUGCCAGCAGCCGCGGUAAUACGUAGGGGGCAAGCGUUGUCCGGAAUUAUUGGGCGUAAAGGGCGUGUAGGCGGCUUGUUAAGUCAGAUGUGAAAUUCCAGGGCUCAACCCUGGGACUGCACCUGAAACUGACAAACUUGAGGAUGGGAGAGGAAAGUGGAAUUCCUAGUGUAGCGGUGAAAUGCGUAGAUAUUAGGAGGAACACCAGUGGCGAAGGCGACUUUCUGGACCACACCUGACGCUGAGGCGCGAAAGCGUGGGGAGCAAACAGGAUUAGAUACCCUGGUAGUCC